AUAUAUAUAUAUAUAUAUAGGGCAACUACACUUUUAUAAGUAUAGAAUACUUUGUGUUCAUAAAUUUUCAACUGUUGGAUGAAGGAAUGUGCAGUUAGGAUAAUAAUAGUCGUUGGUUAGGAUUAUAGUGGUUCUCUAGAGUUGAGUGGAUGGUUGGUUGAAUAGUAUGAUUUAACGGAUGAAAAUGGUCAAAGUGAUAAAUUUAAUGAUCGAAAACUUAUGAAUAUAAAGAGGUCUAUACUCAUGAGAGUAUAGUAGCCGAACUCUCUCUCCCCCUCUCUCUCUCUCUCUCUAUAUAUAUAUAUAUAUAUAUUAGGUCAAACUAAAUAUAAAGGAAUUUAUUUUUAAAAAAAAUUUAAUUAUCGUAUUAAGAUUCUAAUUUUUUAUUUUUUAAAAUCUUUCAUCUAAUAAUAGACUAAUAAUUUAAUUUACUGUUCCCGAAUGAGUUCGAGUUCAGCUCUUUAAUAAACAAGACAAAUACAAACUGAAUUUUUUAACUCGAUAUUUUAAUGGAUCAAUUUCUGUUCGGCGCGUUUAACAAACGAGAGAAC
Molecule: long non-coding RNA, 551 nt
Filed under: Ananas comosus (pineapple)
Lineage: Eukaryota; Viridiplantae; Streptophyta; Magnoliopsida; Poales; Bromeliaceae
Description: long non-coding RNA (ACOM_LNC004838)
Source: RNAcentral